RNAcentral lists this ribosomal RNA (292 nucleotides) under uncultured bacterium. RNAcentral describes it as "partial 16S ribosomal RNA". It matches the Rfam family "Bacterial small subunit ribosomal RNA", at positions 505 to 796 of the family's 1533-position model. The record is from RNAcentral.
GUGCCAGCAGCCGCGGUAAUACGGAGGGGGCUAGCGUUGUUCGGAAUUACUGGGCGUAAAGCGCACGUAGGCGGAUCAGUCAGUCAGGGGUGAAAUCCCGGGGCUCAACCCCGGAACUGCCUUUGAUACUGCUGGUCUGGAGGAUGGGAGAGGCGAGUGGAAUUCCGAGUGUAGAGGUGAAAUUCGUAGAUAUUCGGAGGAACACCAGUGGCGAAGGCGGCUCGCUGGCCCAUUUCUGACGCUGAGGUGCGAAAGCGUGGGGAGCAAACAGGAUUAGAAACCCCCGUAGUCC